CGGGGUGUAGCGCAGCCUGGUAGCGCAUCUGCUUUGGGAGCAGAGGGUCGGGAGUUCGAAUCUCUCCACCCCGA
Molecule: transfer RNA, 74 nt
Filed under: Gammaproteobacteria bacterium
Lineage: Bacteria; Pseudomonadati; Pseudomonadota; Gammaproteobacteria
Description: tRNA-Pro
Rfam family: tRNA
About the family: Transfer RNA (tRNA) molecules are approximately 80 nucleotides in length. Their secondary structure includes four short double-helical elements and three loops (D, anti-codon, and T loops).
Source: RNAcentral